RNAcentral lists this ribosomal RNA (253 nucleotides) under uncultured bacterium. RNAcentral describes it as "partial 16S ribosomal RNA". It matches the Rfam family "Bacterial small subunit ribosomal RNA", at positions 524 to 776 of the family's 1533-position model. The record is from RNAcentral.
UACGUAGGCAGCAAGCGUUGUUCGGAGUUACUGGGCGUAAAGGGUGCGUAGGCGGCCCUGUAAGUAUGGUGUGAAAUCUCCCGGCUUAACUGGGAGGGUGCGCUAUAGACUGCGGGGCUCGAGUGUGGGAGAGGAAAGUGGAAUUCCUGGUGUAGCGGUGAAAUGCGUAGAUAUCAGGAGGAACACCGGUGGUGUAAACGGCUUUCUGGACCAUAACUGACGCUGAGGCACGAAAGCGUGGGUAGCAAACGGG